This 498-nucleotide ribosomal RNA is filed under the name uncultured bacterium. RNAcentral describes it as "partial 16S ribosomal RNA". It matches the Rfam family "Bacterial small subunit ribosomal RNA", at positions 30 to 523 of the family's 1533-position model. The record is from RNAcentral.
AUUGAACGCUGGCGGCAUGCCUUACACAUGCAAGUCGAACGGUAACAGGUCUUCGGAUGCUGACGAGUGGCGAACGGGUGAGUAAUACAUCGGAACGUGCCCGAUCGUGGGGGAUAACGGAGCGAAAGCUUUGCUAAUACCGCAUAAGGUCUACGGAUGAAAGCAGGGGACCGCAAGGCCUUGCGCGAACGGAGCGGCCGAUGGCAGAUUAGGUAGUUGGUGGGAUAAAAGCUUACCAAGCCGACGAUCUGUAGCUGGUCUGAGAGGACGACCAGCCACACUGGGACUGAGACACGGCCCAGACUCCUACGGGAGGCAGCAGUGGGGAAUUUUGGACAAUGGGCGCAAGCCUGAUCCAGCCAUGCCGCGUGCAGGAUGAAGGCCUUCGGGUUGUAAACUGCUUUUGUACGGAACGAAAAGACUCUGGUUAAUACCUGGGGUCCAUGACGGUACCGUAAGAAUAAGCACCGGCUAACUACGUGCCAGCCGCCGCAGUAA